GCAGUCGAGCGAGCGGAACAACAGAUUUACUUCGGUAAUGACGUUGGGAAAGCCAUGUUGGCGGAUGGGUGAGUAACACGUGGGGAACCUGCCCCUAAGUCUGGGAUACCAUUUGGAAACAGGUGCUAAUACCGGAUAAUAAAGCAGAUCGCAUGAUCAGCUUUUGAAAGGCGGCGUAAGCUGUCGCUAAGGGAUGGCCCCGCGGUGCAUUAGCUAGUUGGUAAGGUAACGGCUUACCAAGGCGACGAUGCAUAGCCGAGUUGAGAGACUGAUCGGCCACAUUGGGACUGAGACACGGCCCAAACUCCUACGGGAGGCAGCAGUAGGGAAUCUUCCACAAUGGACGCAAGUCUGAUGGAGCAACGCCGCGUGAGUGAAGAAGGUUUUCGGAUCGUAAAGCUCUGUUGUUGGUGAAGAAGGAUAGAGGUAGUAACUGGCCUUUAUUUGACGGUAAUCAACCAGAAAGUCACGGCUAACUACGUGCCAGCAGCCGCGGUAAUACGUAGGUGGCAAGCGUUGUCCGGAUUUAUUGGGCGUAAAGCGAGCGCAGGCGGAAAAAUAAGUCUAAUGUGAAAGCCCUCGGCUUAACCGAGGAUCUGCAUCGGAAACUGUUUUUCUUGAGUGCAGAAGAGGAGAGUGGAACUCCAUGUGUAGCGGUGGAAUGCGUAGAUAUAUGGAAGAACACCAGUGGCGAAGGCGGCUCUCUGGUCUGCAACUGACGCUGAGGCUCGAAAGCAUGGGUAGCGAACAGGAUUAGAUACCCUGGUAGUCCAUGCCGUAAACGAUGAGUGCUAAGUGUUGGGAGGUUUCCGCCUCUCAGUGCUGCAGCUAACGCAUUAAGCACUCCGCCUGGGGAGUACGACCGCAAGGUUGAAAC
RNAcentral lists this ribosomal RNA (877 nucleotides) under uncultured bacterium. RNAcentral describes it as "bacterial SSU rRNA". It matches the Rfam family "Bacterial small subunit ribosomal RNA", at positions 57 to 900 of the family's 1533-position model. The record is from RNAcentral.